Cronartium quercuum f. sp. fusiforme G11 is the source of this 102-nucleotide non-coding RNA. NCBI's taxonomy places the organism in Eukaryota, Fungi, Basidiomycota, Pucciniomycetes, Pucciniales, Coleosporiaceae. The record is from the annotation of a GenBank genome assembly.
GCCCGGCUAGCUCAGUCGGUAGAGCAUUCGACUCUUAUGAGCUCAUGUUGGCUUGCCAUCCUUGCCAUCGAAUUGUCGUGGGUUCGAGCCCCACGUUGGGCG